GGGAGAUUCCACUCUUGAUUCAAUGGAACUAAAAACUACUCCAAAACUAGAGGAAGCAAUGAGCGUUCGAGUGAAUUACAUUAACAACUUUUAGAAAACCUUAAAUUUUGCAAAAAAUUAACUUAUCCAGAUGAGAAGAUGAUUCAACUUGAAUCACACUAGAUGUGAAUCAGACUCUCAGACUGGUAGACGCACUACAUAAAACUGAAUCAUAUACUAAUACUUACAACAUAGCCAUCUGGAG
Molecule: unclassified non-coding RNA, 244 nt
Filed under: Hevea brasiliensis (rubber tree)
Lineage: Eukaryota; Viridiplantae; Streptophyta; Magnoliopsida; Malpighiales; Euphorbiaceae
Source: RNAcentral